UUGAGCACAUCCACAUCGGCGACUGGAAUUGCAAUAGCCUCUGGAGAAAACAACAGCGAGGGAUGCAACAUGAUUGAAAGACUUCCCUGAAUUCUGUUAACCUGUAAAUUUGGAAGGCAAGUGGAUUAAUUUAUUUUAAAAAAAAGGUUUCAAAGGCAAGACAAAAUGAUGUUCAGAGUGGUGCUGUUAUGUCUAGCUGCUCUGGACAUGAGUAUGAGAGCCUCUACUCAAACCUCAUCAAGCGCAACUGACGCUGCGUCGACCACCGAGGCUGUGACCACUACUGCAGCGGCACAGAAAAGCACACAGGCUCCCAGCACAACCGUACUUCCAAGCACCACAGAAAGUACCGUCACGAUAACAGCCUCUGCCAAAAUUGCAACUCUGACCAAGGCUGGGGAUGCAACCACCACCUCAGCUCCUGUGACUACUGCAGUGACUACCCCUUCUGCAGCUCAGACGACUACUGUCUCUCCUACGACGGUGGACUUAAGCACUACCAUCGCAACAGGUCCUGCGGCUCCUUUCACAUCUGUGUCAACAACGACCUCCUCAUCUCCUGCCACGACUGCGGCGCAGACUACAACUGAAGCAUCAGCCACCACCGCAGACUCAAACACCACUGAAGCCCCCACCACAACUGUACCUCCAACCACAACUACACUUCAAACCACAACUGCAGCUCCAACCACAACUACACUUCC
Long non-coding RNA from Megalops cyprinoides (Indo-Pacific tarpon), 704 nucleotides. RefSeq lists it as uncharacterized. The transcript has 4 exons. Lineage: Eukaryota; Metazoa; Chordata; Actinopteri; Elopiformes; Megalopidae. The record is from RefSeq and is a predicted model, not a curated record.